GCAAAUAUAUCCAGGCUAAAAACUGGAAUUGGUGAAAAAGAUCUUGAUGUCAUUGCAGAAGACUUGCCAGAAAUAGUAAACUGAAGGCGAAGGCUUGAUAUGCUGGAGACUAUGAUGGCAGCCAAUCUGAGUGAUUCUCCAAUCUGGGGGUCUAAAAAGCUCGAGACUAUUGCUCUGAAAUGGACACCGGUCACUAUACUCGUUGUCGUUGCUGUUGUUCUUCUGUGGAGCAGUUCUGUUCACAGGGAAGAAUUCCAAUGACUGGUUUUUAAGAUAGAUACAGAAGAAUAGCUGCUAAUUAAUUAGACCUUUUUUCUUACAGACUUUCAAUAUUCUGAAUUUGAACAUAAUUGAUUUCGUGUUUUAUUGUCUCCAUUAUUGAUCUCUAACAGUGUAAUUAGAACUUAGAAGUUCGUUAUUCUUCCCUGAAA
Molecule: long non-coding RNA, 431 nt
Organism: Ipomoea nil (Japanese morning glory)
Lineage: Eukaryota; Viridiplantae; Streptophyta; Magnoliopsida; Solanales; Convolvulaceae
Exons: 4
Source: RefSeq, a predicted model, not a curated record